UAGUCAAUGCUCGCAAGAGUGAACUAGCUAACUGAAAUCAUAUAUGUGUCAUAUGUGAUAAAGUAAGGGAAAAUAAUGAUAUUACCUUAUUAUUAGUGUUGUCCAAAACUGGUGCCAGAAGACUCGGUAAGGCCAGAGACGCGAACGUUAGUCGUCCUAAUCAGGCGUAAAGGGUUUGUAGGCUGCUUUAAAAGUUUUAUUUUUAAUAUAGCUAAAAUAAAGAUAAGAUCAAUUAAAGCUAGAAUCAAAUAGAGGGUAAACCAAAUAAUACUUAGAGUAGGGCCGAUAUCCAUAAAUACUAGGUGGAAUACUAAAGGUGAAAGCUUUUUAUCUACUAAUGAUUGACGCUGAGAAACGAAGGUGAGGAAAGGAAACAGGAUUAGAUACCCACAUACCCCUCUCUGUCAACGAUGAAUGGUGGCUUGCUAAUUGAAUAAAACAUUAAAAAUUUAAUGUAAUUAUAAUAAAAAAUUGGUAGCGAUGUUAACACGAUAACCAUUCCGCCUUGUGAGUACGACUGCAAAGUGAAAACAA
RNAcentral lists this ribosomal RNA (534 nucleotides) under Serpula lacrymans. Its description in RNAcentral is "SSU rRNA". It matches the Rfam family "Bacterial small subunit ribosomal RNA", at positions 365 to 903 of the family's 1533-position model. Lineage: Eukaryota; Fungi; Basidiomycota; Agaricomycetes; Boletales; Serpulaceae. The record is from RNAcentral.